Molecule: transfer RNA, 63 nt
Filed under: Calomicrus pinicola
Lineage: Eukaryota; Metazoa; Arthropoda; Insecta; Coleoptera; Chrysomelidae
Description: tRNA-Glu
Source: RNAcentral
AUUUAUAUAGUUUAAUUAAAACCUUACUUUUUCAUAGUAAAAUUAGAAAUUUUCUUAUAAAUA